RNAcentral lists this unclassified non-coding RNA (353 nucleotides) under soil metagenome. RNAcentral describes it as "partial contains 5.8S ribosomal RNA, internal transcribed spacer 2, and large subunit ribosomal RNA". The stretch from base 1 to 120 matches the Rfam family "5.8S ribosomal RNA", at positions 35 to 154 of the family's 154-position model. The record is from RNAcentral.
GAUGAAGAACGCAGCGAAAUGCGAUAAGUAAUGUGAAGUGCAGAAUUCAGUGAAUCAUCGAAUCUUUGAACGCACAUUGCGCCCGCCAGUAUUCUGGCGGGCAUGCCUGUUCGAGCGUCAUUACAACCCUCAGGCCCCCGGGCCUGGCGUUGGGGAUCGGCGGAAGCCCCCUGCGGGCACAACGCCGUCCCCCAAAUACAGUGGCGGUCCCGCCGCAGCUUCCAUUGCGUAGUAGCUAACACUUCGCAACUGGAGAGCGGCGCGGCCACGCCGUAAAACACCCAACUUCUGAAUGUUGACCUCGAAUCAGGUAGGAAUACCCGCUGAACUUAAGCAUAUCAAUAAGCGGAGGA